RNAcentral lists this ribosomal RNA (134 nucleotides) under Castor canadensis (American beaver). The record is from RNAcentral. Lineage: Eukaryota; Metazoa; Chordata; Mammalia; Rodentia; Castoridae.
GUCUACAGCCCUACCACCCUGAAUGUGCCCUAUCUCUCUGGUCUUGGAAGCUAAGCAGGGUCAGGCCUGGUUAGUACUUGGAUAAAAGGCAGAUCUUCAAAAGAGACUGCUCAGAGACAAGCAGUUUGGAGACA